Molecule: long non-coding RNA, 240 nt
Filed under: Carica papaya (papaya)
Lineage: Eukaryota; Viridiplantae; Streptophyta; Magnoliopsida; Brassicales; Caricaceae
Description: long non-coding RNA (CPAP_LNC016447)
Source: RNAcentral
UAGUAUUUAUUUUUGCAUAGUAAGGAAUAUUUAUAGAUUAAAUUAAUGAAAUUAUAAUUGGUUGGUCAUGUGCUUAGAUUUUAUAUGCUUUAAUAUAAUUAUUAUGUGUUAAUGCAUGUUUAUGUAAAUGUAUAUAAACAGGUUGUUUGGAUGUUGAUUAUAACAAUAAAUUUGCAUGUGAUAAAUGUUAACGCAUGAUAUAUUUUACGACUACGAGAUGAAGUAACGAAGCAUGAUGAG